RNAcentral lists this ribosomal RNA (253 nucleotides) under uncultured bacterium. RNAcentral's name for it is "partial 16S ribosomal RNA". It matches the Rfam family "Bacterial small subunit ribosomal RNA", at positions 524 to 776 of the family's 1533-position model. The record is from RNAcentral.
UACGAAGGGGGCUAGCGUUGCUCGGAAUCACUGGGCGUAAAGCGCACGUAGGCGGCUUGUUAAGUCAGGGGUGAAAUCCUGGAGCUCAACUCCAGAACUGCCUUUGAUACUGGCGAUCUUGAGUCCGGGAGAGGUGAGUGGAACUGCGAGUGUAGAGGUGAAAUUCGUAGAUAUUCGCAAGAACACCAGUGGCGAAGGUGGCUCACUGGCCCGGUACUGACGCUGAGGCACGAAAGCGUGGGGAGCAAACAGG